Long non-coding RNA from Populus euphratica (Euphrates poplar), 626 nucleotides. RefSeq lists it as uncharacterized. The record is from RefSeq and is a predicted model, not a curated record. NCBI's taxonomy places the organism in Eukaryota, Viridiplantae, Streptophyta, Magnoliopsida, Malpighiales, Salicaceae. The transcript is spliced from 2 exons.
AUUGAAAACAAGAUGAAUAACACUAAUAUGUGAAAAAGCAGAGGUAAUUAUCCUCCAAUGGUGCCCUUCAACUGCAUUUUCAUAACUUAGUCCCACAUGAGAGUACCCGAUAUUUUUCUUCUGAAUAUAAAACCAUAUAGCGCUACAUAUUCCAAUCAUACAACUUGUAGCUGGUUUUUCCACAAUCUCAUAAAACAAUGGCCUCCCCAUCUAGAUAAAGCCCUUGUUCACUUCCUCUCUUUAAAAACACAAGUUACUCAACAACGCAAUACCAGAUAGAGCUUUUCCACAACCACAAAAUCCACCAAAGCUCCAACAAAAGUGGGUUCUCCUCAGAGAUCAAAACUUUAUAAGACAACACAAACCCAUUUCAAAUCUAACAAAUUUGAAUAACCCCAAAUGAAAAUAACACCAGAAAACCUAAAUUUUACACAUCUAACCAAUCCAACAUGAAUAAAAAUCGGGGUUUUCUAUAUAAUCAAACACCAACCCUUUUCUCACACUUAAUUCCUCAUUAAGUAUAAGUAAAUUCUACACGCAAGUAAAGGUACUAAAAUUCUGAAAUUCCUAUUGCAAGAACAAUAAUAGAAAAGAAAGUUUAGAUUUUUUACACCAAAAAGUAAGAG